GACGAACGCUGGCGGCGUGCUUAACACAUGCAAGUCGAACGGAAAGGCCCUGCUUUUGUGGGGUGCUCGAGUGGCGAACGGGUGAGUAACACGUGAGUAACCUGCCCUUGACUUUGGGAUAACUUCAGGAAACUGGGGCUAAUACCGGAUAGGAGCUCCUGCUGCAUGGUGGGGGUUGGAAAGUUUCGGCGGUUGGGGAUGGACUCGCGGCUUAUCAGCUUGUUGGUGGGGUAGUGGCUUACCAAGGCUUUGACGGGUAGCCGGCCUGAGAGGGUGACCGGCCAAGUUGGGGAUGGGAUGCGGCCCAAGAGCCUCGGGGGGGAUGGGGGGGGGAAUGUUGGAGAAAUGGCGGAAGGCUGAUGCAGGAACGCCGGUGGGGGGAUUAUGGGCUUUGGGUUGAAAACCGGUUUACGCUUGUGAGAAGCGGUGGGAGGGGUAAAGGGAAAAAAGCCCCCGGCAAAACACG
This 466-nucleotide ribosomal RNA is filed under the name uncultured bacterium. RNAcentral's name for it is "partial 16S ribosomal RNA". It matches the Rfam family "Bacterial small subunit ribosomal RNA", at positions 28 to 505 of the family's 1533-position model. The record is from RNAcentral.